GGAGGGGUGACCGAGCGGUCGAAGGUGACGGUCUUGAAAACCGUUGAACCCUCACGGGUUCCGUGGGUUCAAAUCCCACCCCCUCCG
RNAcentral lists this transfer RNA (87 nucleotides) under Acidimicrobiia bacterium. RNAcentral's name for it is "tRNA-Ser". It matches the Rfam family "tRNA". From Rfam's summary of the family: Transfer RNA (tRNA) molecules are approximately 80 nucleotides in length. The record is from RNAcentral. Lineage: Bacteria; Bacillati; Actinomycetota; Acidimicrobiia. RNAcentral also lists the same sequence under 3 other names.